GAGAUGAGCCCUGGAUGAUAAGAAAGCUAGAUUCAGAGACUUGGAGAAGAUGUGGGGAUAGAAGGUUCCAAAUAAGGGAAGCAGCAAGUGCAAAGGCCCUGGGGUUGGAUCUUGCAGAGUAGAGUUGGAUCACACAGCUGAAGCAGAGUGAGGGAGGGGGCGUGAGACUGAGGGAAGAGGUCACUGAGAGCCUUGUGGGUCCUCAUAAAUGAGGACUUGGGAUUUUUCUCUGGGAGAGAUGGGGGCCUAGAAGAGUUCUGAGCAGAGGAGGGACAGGAUCUUGGGGGCAAAAGCAAAAACAGGGCAA
This 307-nucleotide long non-coding RNA is filed under the name Pan troglodytes (chimpanzee). RNAcentral's name for it is "long non-coding RNA NONPTRT009282". Lineage: Eukaryota; Metazoa; Chordata; Mammalia; Primates; Hominidae. The record is from RNAcentral.